RNAcentral lists this transfer RNA (77 nucleotides) under Bacteroidota bacterium. RNAcentral describes it as "Bacteroidetes bacterium tRNA-Ile". It matches the Rfam family "tRNA". From Rfam's summary of the family: Transfer RNA (tRNA) molecules are approximately 80 nucleotides in length. Their secondary structure includes four short double-helical elements and three loops (D, anti-codon, and T loops). Lineage: Bacteria; Pseudomonadati; Bacteroidota. The record is from RNAcentral.
AGUCCCGUAGCUCAGCUGGUUAGAGCGCUACACUGAUAAUGUAGAGGUCCCCAGUUCAAAUCUGGGCGGGACUACCA